This 233-nucleotide long non-coding RNA is filed under the name Lathyrus oleraceus (garden pea). RNAcentral describes it as "Pisum sativum (pea) long non-coding RNA (PSAT_LNC004414)". Lineage: Eukaryota; Viridiplantae; Streptophyta; Magnoliopsida; Fabales; Fabaceae. The record is from RNAcentral.
AACCAAGGUGAGUACGGAAAAAAGAAAGAAAAACGACAAAUGUAGUCGAUGGGUCGAAGGAAGCACUCACCGAAGGAAGAUCUCUCAGUUGAAAAAAAAAGAGAAUAUCAAAGAAAAAACUGAGCAAUUAAAAAAGAAAACAAUAAAACAUAGUGAAAAGUAUAUUAACAUUAACUCUAAACCCAAAACCACUUGUUUUCCCUUUUGUUUGUAUUUACCACACCAUAACCCAA